Long non-coding RNA from Oncorhynchus nerka (sockeye salmon), 1509 nucleotides. RefSeq lists it as uncharacterized. The record is from RefSeq and is a predicted model, not a curated record. NCBI's taxonomy places the organism in Eukaryota, Metazoa, Chordata, Actinopteri, Salmoniformes, Salmonidae. The transcript is spliced from 3 exons.
CUGACGCCCUCUUACCCUCCCUCUCUCUCUCACCCUCGUUUUCUCUCUCUCUCCAAGCUCUCUCCACUACACCACCAAUACUUUUUUCCCUGGCUGCGGUGUGUUUGUGCUUUAGCGAGUGUAUGGCGAAACCGGUUCUGUGCUGAUCCAGCUUGUGCGAUCCCAUGCACAGAGCCAGGAGCAGCGUACCUCUUGCCAACAUCCUGCCUCCACUCUGCUGCCUUUUCUGCUUUGAUUUCACACUGUCUGCUUUUCCACCAGACCUUUUCUUUCUUUAACCCUCUGCUCUCUUCCAAGAAUGAUCUAGGAAGAGGGGAAAGAAAUAAGAGAAAGGUGUCUGCGUGAAGGGGAGAUGAGGAGGCAGAAAAGGAGAGAGAGAGGGGAGAGGACUAGAGAAGACUGGAGUUAGGCUGCAACACGAGAGGCAAAGCAACGAGGAGAGGGAGAAAGAAGAGAGCAACAGGGAUCGAGGGAUGAUCGAGGUGGAAUCGGGCCGAAUACGCAGGAAAAGGAGGGAAAAAUUGCCAGACUCAUCCGACCUCUGCUGUGUGAGGACCGGACCCAUCACCUGACUGCCCUCUCCUGUCUUCCUGGUCCUCAGCAGAACAGCCAUGAGACAGCUGUCUUACUGCCUCUAGAGAAAAGCUCUACUAUCCCAUCUGCUUUAUGGAGAACCAGGUCUCUUCACCUCCCUGUUUCUGGCAUGACUCAUGACUCAUUGUGCUGUGGUGACUACAGUUUGCUUGUAAGACUCCUGUAUUCUAUUGUUUUAACAUAGUUGUAUAUAGUCCAUGUACAACAACUAGACUCCUGUAUUCUAUGGUUUUAACAUAGCUGUAUAUAGUCCAUGUACAACAACUAGACUCCUGUAUUCUAUGGUUUUAACAUAGUUGUAUAUAGUCCAUGUACAACAACUAGAUUCCUGUAUUCUAUGGUUUUAACAUAGCUGUAUAUAGUCCAUGUACAACAACUAGACUCCUGUAUUCUAUGGUUUUAACAUAGUUGUAUAUAGUCCAUGUACAACAACUAGACUCCUGUAUUCUAUGGUUUUAACAUAGUUGUAUAUAGUCCAUGUACAACAACUAGAUUCCUGUAUUCUAUGGUUUUAACAUAGCUGUAUAUAGUCCAUGUACAACAACUAGACUCCUGUAUUCUAUGGUUUUAACAUAGUUGUAUAUAGUCCAUGUACAACAACUAGACUCCUGUAUUCUAUGGUUUUAACAUAGCUGUAUAUAGUCCAUGUACAACAACUAGACUCAUGUAUUCUAUGGUUUUAACAUAGUUGUAUAUAGUCCAUGUACAACAACUAGACUCCUGUAUUCUAUGGUUUUAACAUAGUUGUAUAUAGUCCAUGUACAACAACUAGACUCCUGUAUUCUAUGGUUUUAACAUAGUUGUAUAUAGUCCAUGUACAACAACUAGACUCCUGUAUUCUAUGGUUUUAACAUAGCUGUAUAUAGUCCAUGUACAACAAAGCCAUGACUAGCGCUAUGACUAUUUUCUUCUCAA